This 1632-nucleotide long non-coding RNA is filed under the name Anser brachyrhynchus (Pink-footed goose). Its description in RNAcentral is "lncRNA (ENSABRG00000014652.1)". Lineage: Eukaryota; Metazoa; Chordata; Aves; Anseriformes; Anatidae. The record is from RNAcentral.
UCUGUUAUAAUUUCAUGCUUAAAUAACACUAAAUAAUGUUCCCUGUUUGCACAGCGUAAUUGGAAGAGGCGAAUAAACCAAACAAACCAGCUAUGACUGAGCUUCCCUAGUAUUUUCAAACUGAAACAAACAGUAAAAAACAAGGGCUUGGCCAAGUUAACACUUCGGGGGUAUUUUCUAGCUCGCAUUCCACUUUUUCAUUUUCACAGGCCAAGAAAUGCAAGAGCUUUGAAGAGCUAGUGGCUUUUUGCCAAAGAAAGCUCAGUUGGUCUUCGACUGAAAAAAAAAGAAAAAAUUAAAAGUGAACUUAUUGUAUGUGUUUUGUUUUUUUUUAGGAACUGGCAGGGCUAAUGACUCCAGAAGUGCCGUGGGAUUUUAUUUCACCUUGUGGAAAGGAACACGUUCUGAUGGGGCACAAACUUAGGAAGAUCCUGCCUGGGAUUAACUCUGCUGAGGCCACUGGAGUGCAGCACGGAGCGGGCAGGUCCACGGGUCCGUGGGCGCUAAUGAUGCUGCACCAGCACCUGCGGGGGAAGCUGGGAGGGCUGAGAAGGGGCAAAGCAAAAAGCUGCUCCUCAGCUUCCAAAUGAUGCUCCCAAGAGGAGAAUUGCUUCAGAAGGAGCUCCUCACAGAACAGACACUUCAGAGCAGCAAGUGCUGGUGUGUCUGGGAAGGCGGCGAGGAGGGGGCUGGCCGCAGGAGACCACCUACCCACCCUCAAACCAAGUGAGCUGCUGCUGGAGGACAUGGCUUGGGUGGACCUCGGUGGCCAGAAAUAACUCCUGCGUCUCCAGGAGGCCACAGAUGGAUAGAAAGGGUAUGUGAGGCUCUUAGGACGACAUGGGAAGUCCUUUCCGAUGUUUUCCUCUGGGUUUUUCUCCUCUUUUGCAUGAAGCGUUUCCUUCGUGAUGGUUGGAGCUCCCCCUCGUUUGGAUCUUUUGGUUUUCCAGGUCCCGUCUGCGUGGCUCGUUCUCUGCCUGGAUCUGAGGAGGAAGGCUGUCCGUAUUUCAGACAGGCUGAAGUUCGGGAGUUCAGAGUCAGCAGUGGUCAAGAAAUGAGCCAGGGCCCCAGCGGCCUCAUUCUCUCCUCUAAUGGAUGAAUUUUCUGCUGGAAAACAGGGAGGUAGAUUAGGGAAGGCUGUUGCAGUAGUGGCAGAGUGGCUUGGGCUGCUGUAGGCUGCUCGUUAGGCAGCAAGGUGUUCUCCGGCUCCGGGUCAGCUCCGAGCUGCUCAGUCGGACUGGGUCUGAUGGCAAAGUUCACAGAGGAUGGGUGGAUGUUGUGUGCUGCUGAAACUCUGACUGAGAGAAAGGGCAGCCAGAUCAGCAGCAGCACAGCAAACAGAAUGAUGUGAUGGGCCCGUUCCCAGCCUUCUGCGUUCCCCACAAAAUUCAUAGUGUCAGGCCCUCCCUGCCCAGUUCUUUGGGUUGGGAAUAACACAGGAGACCUGAUGGGAGACCAGUAACAGCCCCAGCCACUGGCUUAGGAAAAGAAAUUUGGGAGGAUGAUGAAAGACGAGAAGAGGGUGGGAAAGCUGUGGGUUUUCUGUGUUUGGUAUAGGUCUCCUUGGGGCCCCUUGGAUCUGACAUUUCUUGUUUGCAGGCUGUGUCCUCGUGGCAUUGCAACGUGUGCUUG